AUUGAACGCUAGCGGGAUGCCUUACACAUGCAAGUCGAACGGCAGCACGGACUUCGGUCUGGUGGCGAGUGGCGAACUGGUGAGUAAUGUAUCGGAACGUGCCCAGUAGCGGGGGAUAACUACUCGAAAGAGUAGCUAAUACCGCAUACGCCCUACGGGGGCAAGGGGGGGAUCGCAAGACCUCUCACUAUUGGAGCGGGCGAUAACGGGUUAGGUAGUCGGUGGGGUAAAGGCCCGCCAAGGCGACGAUGCUUCGCUGCUUCGAGAGGACGACCCGCCACGAUGGGACAGAGACACGGCCCGGGCUGCUACGAGAGGCAGCAGUGGGGAGUUUUUGAGAGUGGGGGCAACCCGGAUGCAGCGCUACCGAGUGUGCGAUGAAGGCCUUCGGGUUGUAAAUUGAUGGUGGGAGGAAAGAAAGCGCACAGGCUAAGACGUCGAGUGGAUGACGGUACCUGCAGAAUAAGCACCGGCUAACUACGUGCCAGCCGCCGCAGUAA
This 500-nucleotide ribosomal RNA is filed under the name uncultured bacterium. RNAcentral describes it as "partial 16S ribosomal RNA". It matches the Rfam family "Bacterial small subunit ribosomal RNA", at positions 29 to 523 of the family's 1533-position model. The record is from RNAcentral.